RNAcentral lists this non-coding RNA (1443 nucleotides) under Cryptosporidium parvum. Lineage: Eukaryota; Apicomplexa; Conoidasida; Eucoccidiorida; Cryptosporidiidae. The record is from RNAcentral.
AAUAAAUUCAAAUUUCUAAUAGCUAUAGGGCCGUGAAAAAUGCAGAAAGAAAUUAGAUAUAUCGUAAGCUAUGCAUUUAAAUAUAUAAAUACUAAAUCAUUUUUUAAAAUUUUAGUUAGCAAUUGGGAAUUAUUAGUUUUGGGGGGCGCCAUUAUACAUGCAAUUGAAUCCAAAAAACACCAAUUCAAAAGUUAUUUGGAAGCUUUUAAAAUUCAACGGGGUUAAAACAGAAAUAGGUUAGUAUUUUAUAGCAAUUAAAAAAUUCGUUAACUAGCACACGAAAAAUAGAGCAAUUCAAUCCGUGUACACGUUAACUCAAAUUUCUAGCAGUUUUAUUGCCAUCUCUUCCAUUUGGUCUAGCGCGCAUUCUAUUGGCUGUAGGUAAAUUUAAGUUAAAAUGCCUUGCAAUUAUCUAUCAAAAACUUACAGUAAUCUGUAAUGACUCUACCUCUUCUUUAAAGAGCUUAGAGUAAUCUGUUUGAUUCCCCAGAGGAGAAACUACGGCAAAUUUUUUUUUUUAAGAAAAUUUUAUGAUUUACUUACCUUGCUGAUUCAUCAUUGGUAGAUCAAUUUGCGGACCUGAAACUCCUUCAAACCCAAUAAUAGAAAGGAAAAGAUGAACAACCUCUCCACAACAGAGUAAUGCAAUGAAAUAAAAUGAUAGAGCUGACAAAAAUGAGGCGCUUAUAUUUGGAUUUGAUUCUAUUCCUCUUUGAAGCAUUCCCUUAAAUGAAUAAGAAAGUGGGAAAGGAAUAUAAACAACUAGAAAUCCCGAAAAUAAUGUGUUGACUAAGUAUCCCAUCCCUCCAUUCAAAAUCAGAAACCCAAAUUGGUUUUUCAUCAUAUCUGUAAGUGCAGAGUGGUCUAAAUUGUUGAAAAAUUAUGAAGUCAUAAGAAUUAAGCACGUAAACAUACCUGGGUUUGAGAGUGCAGCCAAUGGGCUUGGAGAUUCUGGAGAGUUAUGAAAAUAUCCACUCUCUAGUUCACAAUAAAACAGCUUUCUUUUCAAAAAUGAAUCUUCUGGAAUUAAAAAUCUUCUAGACCUUAUUAAUGCACUCCUAUUGAGGUGAUUUUGGAACUCUUGAUUUCUCAAAGACACGCGUUGAGUGGACAUCAAGCAAUCAUUCAAAUUUUUCUCAUUCUUAAAAGGCAACCUUUUCUUUUUCUUUUUUUGCGAGGAUGUUUGAAGAAUUGUUCUUAAAAUAACUCCACAAAAAACUAAUAUGGUAACGGGAAUUGUACACCAAUAUAGUAUUUUCUUAUCCAGGUACAUUACUUGAACCCACUCUAUUUUUUUACUUUAUCUUAAACUCUUUUGUUAUAUUCAGCCUCCAGUGCUUUUGGCCCUCAUUAGUUACAGAAAACAAAAAAAUUCGCGCAAUGUUUAUUUUACUAGUCUGAGUAACAUAAGAAAAUAUUAAAAUUAAAAAAGCACUUAAAGAC